CAUUGAGAUUGUGUUGUCGAUGAGAUGACAUUCGCAGGGCACAAAAAAUCUAGAGUUCAGGCUGCAAAUCACAAAUUCUGUACCUCUUCUACCACCUCUGAUGCUGCCAUCAAAGUUGAUCUUGAUAUAACCUGAGGGUGGGGGCUCCCAAGUGAUGAACACCAAUCGGGGCACUGUCAGAGACUCAGAGAAGUCAAAGAGUCCCGGAUGUCCCAAGUGGCUAAGAUCGAACCGAUCAGUAUGCAGCACAUGGCCUCCAUAGCCUAGAGUGAGGCCAUUUUAAGGGUGAGCCUCAUCGACUGCCAAACCUCCUCGAAUAUGCAUAUGUUCCUAGCCAACCAGAUGUAGUAGACAAUGUAAGCCGCUAAAGUACCCAUGGCCCUAGACGAGUCACUCUCCAUGCUUCUCCGAAGAGCCUCUAAGAAGGACUGAGUUGGCUUCGUGGGGGUAAUGAUCAUGGCAAGAAGGUCAAUCAUCCUCCACACAUGCCAAGCUCGAGGGCAUAAGAAAAUGACGUGGUCAUCGAUCUCCUCCUUUAUAUCACAAGAUGGACAGAUCAUCAGGAGCUCCAUGCCUCUAGUUGGUAGAACCAUCUUUGUUAAAAGAUGGCACCAUACCACUUUUCAAAUGAAUAAGCUGACUCUUGAGUGGAUAUGCAACCUCCAGAUCCAUAUCCCAUUCAAUCUCCUGAUCAAGAGUCCCUUGUAAGCCUCGUACACAUCCCUGGUCACCACUCUCG
RNAcentral lists this long non-coding RNA (739 nucleotides) under Elaeis guineensis (African oil palm). RNAcentral describes it as "long non-coding RNA (EGUI_LNC010547)". The record is from RNAcentral. Lineage: Eukaryota; Viridiplantae; Streptophyta; Magnoliopsida; Arecales; Arecaceae.